ACGCUAGCUACAGGCUUAACACAUGCAAGUCGAGGGGAAACGGCAUUAAGUGCUUGCACUUUUUGGACGUCGACCGGCGCACGGGUGAGUAACGCGUAUCCAACCUUCCCAUGACUAAGGGAUAACCUGCCGAAAGGCAGACUAAUACCUUAUGGUCUUCACUGACGGCAUCAGAUGUGAAGUAAAGAUUUAUCGGUUAUGGAUGGGGAUGCGUCUGAUUAGUUAGUUGGCGGGGUAACGGCCCACCAAGGCAACGAUCAGUAGGGGUUCUGAGAGGAAGGUCCCCCACAUUGGAACUGAGACACGGUCCAAACUCCUACGGGAGGCAGCAGUGAGGAAUAUUGGUCAAUGGGCGAGAGCCUGAACCAGCCAAGUAGCGUGCAGGAUGACGGCCCUAUGGGUUGUAAACUGCUUUUGUAUGGGGAUAAAGUCAAUCACGUGUGAUUGUUUGCAGGUACCAUACGAAUAAGGACCGGCUAAUUCCGUGCCAGCAGCCGCGGUAAUACGGAAGGUCCGGGCGUUAUCCGGAUUUAUUGGGUUUAAAGGGAGCGUAGGCUGGAGAUUAAGUGUGUUGUGAAAUGUAGACGCUCAACGUCUGACUUGCAGCGCAUACUGGUUUCCUUGAGUACGCACAACGUUGGCGGAAUUCGUCGUGUAGCGGUGAAAUGCUUAGAUAUGACGAAGAACUCCGAUUGCGAAGGCAGCUGACGGGAGCGCAACUGACGCUGAAGCUCGAAGGUGCGGGUAUCGAACAGGAUUAGAUACCCUGGUAGUCCGCACAGUAAGCGAUGGAUGCCCGCUGUUGGUACUUGGUAUCAGCGGCUAAGCGAAAGCAUUAAGCAUCCCACCUGGGGAGUACGCCGGCAACGGUGAAACUCAAAGGAAUUGACGGGGGCCCGCACA
This 903-nucleotide ribosomal RNA is filed under the name uncultured bacterium. RNAcentral's name for it is "bacterial SSU rRNA". It matches the Rfam family "Bacterial small subunit ribosomal RNA", at positions 33 to 927 of the family's 1533-position model. The record is from RNAcentral.